GGGCGGUUAGCUCAGCGGGAGAGCAUUCGCUUCACACGCGAAGGGUCACAGGUUCAAUCCCUGUACCGCCCA
This 72-nucleotide transfer RNA is filed under the name Prosthecodimorpha hirschii. RNAcentral's name for it is "Prosthecomicrobium hirschii tRNA". It matches the Rfam family "tRNA". Rfam says of the family: Transfer RNA (tRNA) molecules are approximately 80 nucleotides in length. Their secondary structure includes four short double-helical elements and three loops (D, anti-codon, and T loops). Further hydrogen bonds mediate the characteristic L-shaped molecular structure. tRNAs have two regions of fundamental functional importance: the anti-codon, which is responsible for specific mRNA codon recognition, and the 3' end, to which the tRNAs corresponding amino acid is attached (by aminoacyl-tRNA synthetases). tRNAs cope with the degeneracy of the genetic code in two manners: having more than one tRNA (with a specific anti-codon) for a particular amino acid; and 'wobble' base-pairing, i.e. permitting non-standard base-pairing at the 3rd anti-codon position. The record is from Rfam by way of RNAcentral. Lineage: Bacteria; Pseudomonadati; Pseudomonadota; Alphaproteobacteria; Hyphomicrobiales; Ancalomicrobiaceae. RNAcentral also lists the same sequence under 1 other name.